AGGCUUGUAGCUCAGGUGGUUAGAGCGCACCCCUGAUAAGGGUGAGGUCGGUGGUUCAAGUCCACACAGGCCUACCA
RNAcentral lists this transfer RNA (77 nucleotides) under Escherichia coli. RNAcentral's name for it is "tRNA-Ile". It matches the Rfam family "tRNA". From Rfam's summary of the family: Transfer RNA (tRNA) molecules are approximately 80 nucleotides in length. Their secondary structure includes four short double-helical elements and three loops (D, anti-codon, and T loops). Further hydrogen bonds mediate the characteristic L-shaped molecular structure. tRNAs have two regions of fundamental functional importance: the anti-codon, which is responsible for specific mRNA codon recognition, and the 3' end, to which the tRNAs corresponding amino acid is attached (by aminoacyl-tRNA synthetases). tRNAs cope with the degeneracy of the genetic code in two manners: having more than one tRNA (with a specific anti-codon) for a particular amino acid; and 'wobble' base-pairing, i.e. permitting non-standard base-pairing at the 3rd anti-codon position. Lineage: Bacteria; Pseudomonadati; Pseudomonadota; Gammaproteobacteria; Enterobacterales; Enterobacteriaceae. The record is from RNAcentral.